AGAGUUUGAUCCUGGCUCAGGAUGACCUUUGGCGGCGUGCCUAACACAUGCAAGUCGAACGGAGUUUAUAUUAAGAAGUUUUCGGACGGAUUGAUAUAAACUUAGUGGCGGACGGGUGAGUAACGCGUGGGUAACCUGCCUCAUACAGGGGGAUAACAGUCGGAAACGGCUGCUAAAACCGCAUAAGCAUACAGUAUCGCAUGGUACAGUGUGAAAAUAUUUAUAGGUAUGAGAUGGGCCCGCGUCUGAUUAGCUAGUUGGUGAGAUAAAAGCUUACCAAGGCGACGAUCAGUAGCCGGCUUGAGAGAGUGACCAGCCACACUGGGACUGAGACACGGCCCAGACUCCUACGGGAGGCAGCAGUGGGGAAUUUUCGACAAUGGGGGAAACCCUGAUCGAGCCAUCCCGCGUGUGGGACGAAGGCCUUCGGGUUGUAAACCACUUUUCUUAGCGAAGAAAAGUCUUAGGCUAAUACCUUAAGAUGCUGACGGUAGCUAAGGAAUAAGCAUCGGCUAACUACGUGCCAGCAGCCGCGGUAAUACGUAGGAUGCAAGCGUUAAUCGGAAUUACUGGGCGUAAAGGGUGCGCAGGCGGCUUGGAAAGAACGGUGUGAAAUCCCGGGGCUCAACCCCGGAACUGCACUAUUAACUAUCAAGCUAGAGUAUGUCAGAGGGGGGUGGAAUUCCGCGUGUAGCAGUGAAAUGCGUAGAUAUGCGGAGGAACACCAAUGGCGAAGGCAGCCCCCUGGGAUAAUACUGACGCUCAGGCACGAAAGCGUGGGUAGCAAACAGGAUUAGAUACCCUGGUAGUCCACGCCCUAAACGAUGUCAACUAGCUGUUGGGCCGGUUACGGCUUAGUAGCGCAGCUAACGCGUGAAGUUGACCGCCUGGGGACUACGGUCGCAAGACUAAAACUCAAAGGAAUUGACGGGGACCCGCACAAGCGGUGGAUGAUGUGGAUUAAUUCGAUGCAACGCGAAAAACCUUACCUACCCUUGACAUGCCCGGAAGCUUCAAGAGAUUGAAGUGUGCUCGCAAGAGAACCGGAGCACAGGUGCUGCAUGGCUGUCGUCAGCUCGUGUCGUGAGAUGUUGGGUUAAGUCCCGCAACGAGCGCAACCCUUGUCAUUAGUUGCUACGCAAGAGCACUCUAAUGAGACUGCCGGUGACAAACCGGAGGAAGGUGGGGAUGACGUCAAGUCCUCAUGGCCCUUAUGGGUAGGGCUUCACACGUCAUACAAUGGUCAGGACAGCGGGUUGCCAAACCGCGAGGUGGAGCUAAUCUCAAAAACCUGAUCGUAGUCCGGAUUGCAGGCUGCAACUCGCCUGCAUGAAGUCGGAAUCGCUAGUAAUCGCAGAUCAGAAUGCUGCGGUGAAUACGUUCCCGGGCCUUGCACUCACCGCCCGUCA
This 1409-nucleotide ribosomal RNA is filed under the name uncultured bacterium. Its description in RNAcentral is "partial 16S ribosomal RNA". It matches the Rfam family "Bacterial small subunit ribosomal RNA". The record is from RNAcentral.